GGUUUUAACCGAUUUAACGAAGGUUAUCAUAAGUGUCAUCCUUUCGAAUGAAUGUGAUGAUAUAUCAAUUUUUGGAGCAACUUCGUCGAUGUUGUCUGUUGAAGUAUA
This 108-nucleotide small RNA is filed under the name Caenorhabditis remanei. Its description in RNAcentral is "SL2 RNA". It matches the Rfam family "SL2 RNA". From Rfam's summary of the family: This family represents SL2 RNA. SL2 RNA is involved in trans splicing in lower eukaryotes. The record is from Rfam by way of RNAcentral. Lineage: Eukaryota; Metazoa; Nematoda; Chromadorea; Rhabditida; Rhabditidae.